UAGCAUAAAAACAUCCAAGUGUAGAAAAUAUAGAAAAAAAAGAAGCUCGGAGCUUGGCAUGAGAACAAUAUAAAAGAAACUCAACAAAGUUGAGCAAGCUUUUAGUGAAAUGGUCAAUCCAUAUGCAAAUAACGUAAUUCGGCUUAAACCAAACUCGAGACGGGGACUUAUCUUCCUACCUGGUCUAAUAAAAAUAUUAAGCCCCAACUUAUAUCUAUUUAAGCUAAAUUUAUAUAUUAUAACUAAAUCUCAGUAGUUUGGUAUAAUUAUUAUGUUUUAUCCUUUUGUAAUUAUUUAUUAAACUAUUAUUAUUUUAAUAGAAAUAUAAGUUCAUUAUCAAUGUUGAUCUUAUAAAUAUAAUUAAUAUUUUUUAAGAAAUAUUUAUUUCAUAAUCACUCUC
RNAcentral lists this long non-coding RNA (400 nucleotides) under Vigna radiata. RNAcentral describes it as "long non-coding RNA (VRAD_LNC002293)". Lineage: Eukaryota; Viridiplantae; Streptophyta; Magnoliopsida; Fabales; Fabaceae. The record is from RNAcentral.